This 667-nucleotide ribosomal RNA is filed under the name Enterococcus faecium. RNAcentral describes it as "partial 23S ribosomal RNA". It matches the Rfam family "Bacterial large subunit ribosomal RNA", at positions 153 to 823 of the family's 2925-position model. Lineage: Bacteria; Bacillati; Bacillota; Bacilli; Lactobacillales; Enterococcaceae. The record is from RNAcentral.
AUUGUGUGAAUACAUAGCACAUUCGAGGUAGACGCAGAGAACUGAAACAUCUAAGUACCUGCAGGAAGAGAAAGAAAAUUCGAUUCCCUGAGUAGCGGCGAGCGAAACGGGAAAAGCCCAAACCAGCAAGCUUGCUUGUUGGGGUUGUAGGACUCCAAUAUGGUAGUUCUUUCAGAUAGUCGAAUGACUUGGAAAAGUCAGUCAAAGAGGGUAAAAACCCCGUAGACGAAAUGUGGAAGACACCUAGGAGGAUCCUGAGUACGGCGGAACACGAGAAAUUCCGUCGGAAUCCGGGAGGACCAUCUCCCAAGGCUAAAUACUCCCUAGUGACCGAUAGUGAACCAGUACCGUGAGGGAAAGGUGAAAAGCACCCCGGAAGGGGAGUGAAAUAGAACCUGAAACCGUGUGCCUACAACAAGUCAAAGCCCGUUAAUGGGUGAUGGCGUGCCUUUUGUAGAAUGAACCGGCGAGUUACGAUUGCAUGCGAGGUUAAGUUGAAGAGACGGAGCCGCAGCGAAAGCGAGUCUGAAUAGGGCGUUUGAGUAUGUAGUCGUAGACCCGAAACCAUGUGAUCUACCCAUGUCCAGGUUGAAGGUGCGGUAAAACGCACUGGAGGACCGAACCCACGUACGUUGAAAAGUGCGGGGAUGAGGUGUGGGUAGCGGAG